AUUGAACGCUGGCGGCAUGCCUUACACAUGCAAGUCGAACGGCAGCGCGGGAGCAAUCCUGGCGGCGAGUGGCGAACGGGUGAGUAAUACAUCGGAACGUGCCCAAUCGUGGGGGAUAACGCAGCGAAAGCUGUGCUAAUACCGCAUACGAUCUACGGAUGAAAGCAGGGGAUCGCAAGACCUUGCGCGAAUGGAGCGGCCGAUGGCAGAUUAGGUAGUUGGUGAGGUAAAGGCUCACCAAGCCUUCGAUCUGUAGCUGGUCUGAGAGGACGACCAGCCACACUGGGACUGAGACACGGCCCAGACUCCUACGGGAGGCAGCAGUGGGGAAUUUUGGACAAUGGGCGAAAGCCUGAUCCAGCCAUGCCGCGUGCAGGAUGAAGGCCUUCGGGUUGUAAACUGCUUUUGUACGGAACGAAACGGUCUUUUCUAAUAAAGAAGGCUAAUGACGGUACCGUAAGAAUAAGCACCGGCU
Molecule: ribosomal RNA, 475 nt
Filed under: beta proteobacterium 5-2
Lineage: Bacteria; Pseudomonadati; Pseudomonadota; Betaproteobacteria
Description: bacterial SSU rRNA
Rfam family: Bacterial small subunit ribosomal RNA
Source: RNAcentral